UUUUUUUUUUAAGUUAGAUUUUAUCAAGAGAUUUGUCCUUUCCUAUGCAAUUGUGUUCAUAUAUUAUAAUUCGGCCUAUAAUAUAAAAUCCAUUCUCUAACUUGUAAUUUAAAAAUAUUAAAUCUACUUAAAUAUAUUGUUUCCCUUUAAGAUAAAAGAUUCCCGUUUCUUUUAAGGAAUUUAUUUGAGAGUAGGGUUGGAUUUGAAAGACCACACACCUUGGGUCUAUGGUAGUCUUCAUGGAUUGGUAACCAUAAGGGUCUGCUCGUAGUCCUCCGGUUCUCAAAGCAAGAUAAUGGCAUCGCUGCUGCGAGUGAAAAGAGCAUGACAGAGGCUAAAGACGCCCAGGUGAAGGCCGAGCUGGAGGUUGACUCAUUGAAAAAGGCCUUGAAGGAUGCCAAGGGCGAAAUCGCCUUGUUGACUUAGAAGGUAGACCAAUUCGAAGAGGAAAAGAAGACAUCUUUCGACCUCAUGAAACAAGAGAGGGUUCAGUUUCAGGAAGAGCUUAAGGCCGUCGAAUACUCUGAGCUAGCUUGCUACCAGAUUUAGACCUUCAACCUCGACACAGACUUCUCUUUCUUAGGCGAAGCUUGGGAUGCCUUUAUUGAGAAGUUCAAGUUUCAACUCGUUGUGGAAGAGGUCGCCCAGACUACACCUGUCGAGGGGAACCCUGAUGAUGAGUUCGGGGAUGAGGUCACGACGGAGGCUGGAGGCACAUCCAAGGGUUGAGGACUUCUUUAACCUGUAUGUUUAUUCUUCUUUAUUUUAAGGUCCUUGGGCCAUUUUGUAAUUAAGGGGUUUGGGGCUGAGAUAAUAUUAUACUCGAGUGUUCUUGAGUAUUCAUUUUUUGGAAGGAUAUGAUGCCUUCCAAGCUAAGACAGUUAUAUGCUCUAUUUUGUUAAGCAUUUACUUAUCUUUUCCCUUAUAUCACUGCUUUUGACAAUA
Humulus lupulus (European hop) is the source of this 945-nucleotide long non-coding RNA. RefSeq lists it as uncharacterized. The record is from RefSeq and is a predicted model, not a curated record. Lineage: Eukaryota; Viridiplantae; Streptophyta; Magnoliopsida; Rosales; Cannabaceae. The transcript has 2 exons.